Molecule: ribosomal RNA, 439 nt
Filed under: uncultured Mesorhizobium sp.
Lineage: Bacteria; Pseudomonadati; Pseudomonadota; Alphaproteobacteria; Hyphomicrobiales; Phyllobacteriaceae
Description: bacterial SSU rRNA
Rfam family: Bacterial small subunit ribosomal RNA
Source: RNAcentral
CCUACGGGAGGCAGCAGUGGGGAAUCUUGGGCAAUGGGGGCAACCCUGACCCAGCGACGCCGCGUGGGGGAUGACGGCCCUCGGGUUGUAAACCCCUGUGAGGGGGGACGAACCGUGCCGGGCGAACAGGCCGGCGCGUUGACGGUACCCCCACAGCAAGCCCCGGCUAACUCCGUGCCAGCAGCCGCGGUAAUACGGAGGGGGCGAGUGUUGUUCGGAAUUACUGGGCGUAAAGGGCGCGUAGGCGGCCUGGCCAGUCGCGUGUGAAAGGCCUCGGCUUAACCGAGGCAGGGCGCGCGACACUACCAGGCUGGAGGACGGGAGAGGGCAGUGGAACUCUCGGUGUAGGGGUGAAAUCUGUAGAGAUCGAGAGGAACACCGGUGGCGAAGGCGGCUGCCUGGCCCGUUGCUGACGCUGAGGCGCGAAAGCGUGGGGAGC